Molecule: non-coding RNA, 114 nt
Organism: Macaca mulatta (Rhesus monkey)
Lineage: Eukaryota; Metazoa; Chordata; Mammalia; Primates; Cercopithecidae
Source: Rfam
GUGCUCACUUUGGCAGCAUGGGUACCAAAAUUGGAAUGAUACAGAGAAGAUCAGCAUGGCUCCUGAAUGAGGAUGACAAAAUAUGAAAAAGAAAAAGAAAAGCACAAAAGAUCU